RNAcentral lists this ribosomal RNA (115 nucleotides) under Periophthalmus magnuspinnatus. Lineage: Eukaryota; Metazoa; Chordata; Actinopteri; Gobiiformes; Gobiidae. The record is from RNAcentral.
UCAUCAGUCCAAACCUCCUUGUCAAAACCUCCUCGUCAGAUCUCAGAAGCUGAGCAGGGCUGGCUCUGGUUAGUACUUGGAUGGUAGACUGCACAGAAUUGUGCAGAUUGGCAGU